Molecule: ribosomal RNA, 489 nt
Filed under: uncultured bacterium
Lineage: Bacteria
Description: partial 16S ribosomal RNA
Rfam family: Bacterial small subunit ribosomal RNA
Source: RNAcentral
AUUGAACGCUGGCGGCAGGCCUAACACAUGCAAGUCGAACGGUAACAGGAAGAAGCUUGCUUCUUUGCUGACGAGUGGCGGACGGGUGAGUAAUGUCUGGGAAACUGCCUGAUGGAGGGGGAUAACACUGGAAACGGUAGCUAAUACCGCAUAACGUCGCAAGACCAAAGAGGGGGACCUUCGGGCCUCUUGCCAUCGGAUGUGCCCAGAUGGGAUUAGCUAGUAGGUGGGGUAACGGCUCACCUAGGCGACGAUCCCUAGCUGGUCUGAGAGGAUGACCAGCCACACUGGAACUGAGACACGGUCCAGACUCCUACGGGAGGCAGCAGUGGGGAAUAUUGCACAAUGGGCGCAAGCCUGAUGCAGCCAUGCCGCGUGUAUGAAGAAGGCCUUCGGGUUGUAAAGUACUUUCAGCGGGGAGGAAGGGAGUAAAGUUAAUACCUUUGCUCAUUGACGUUACCCGCAGAAGAAGCACCGGCUAACUCCGUG